GCAAGUCGAGCGGACAGAUGGGAGCUUGCUCCCUGAUGUUAGCGGCGGACGGGUGAGUAACACGUGGGUAACCUGCCUGUAAGACUGGGAUAACUCCGGGAAACCGGGGCUAAUACCGGAUGGUUGUUUGAACCGCAUGGUUCAAACAUAAAAGGUGGCUUCGGCUACCACUUACAGAUGGACCCGCGGCGCAUUAGCUAGUUGGUGAGGUAACGGCUCACCAAGGCAACGAUGCGUAGCCGACCUGAGAGGGUGAUCGGCCACACUGGGACUGAGACACGGCCCAGACUCCUACGGGAGGCAGCAGUAGGGAAUCUUCCGCAAUGGACGAAAGUCUGACGGAGCAACGCCGCGUGAGUGAUGAAGGUUUUCGGAUCGUAAAGCUCUGUUGUUAGGGAAGAACAAGUACCGUUCGAAUAGGGCGGUACCUUGACGGGACCUAACCAGAAAGCCACGGCUAACUACGUGUUAGCAGCCGCGGUAAUACGUAGGUGGCAAGCGUUGUCCGGAAUUAUUGCGCGUAAAGGGCUCGCAGGCGGUUUCUUAAGUCUGAUGUGAAAGCCCCCCGGNUCACCCNGGGAGGGGUCAUUGGAAAACUGGGGGAACUGGAGGGCAGAGGAGAAANGAGCAUUCCACGGUGAAGCGGUCGAAAUGCUAGGAGAGGUGCAGGAACCCCACCUGCCAAAGGCAACUCUCCGGGCUGGAAACUNACCCNAGAGAAGCAAAAACCGAGAGAGGCGAACGGGAUUAAUAGACCCUGNAAAGCCCCCCCCGAAAAAAAAAAGCGCAAAGGUGAAAGGGGGGUUCCCGCCCCCNANNGCGCUAGCUUUUACAAAUUUAAAAACCCCCCCCCCGGG
This 857-nucleotide ribosomal RNA is filed under the name Bacillus subtilis. Its description in RNAcentral is "partial 16S ribosomal RNA". It matches the Rfam family "Bacterial small subunit ribosomal RNA". The record is from RNAcentral. Lineage: Bacteria; Bacillati; Bacillota; Bacilli; Caryophanales; Bacillaceae.